AUUGAACGCUGGCGGCAUGCCUUACACAUGCAAGUCGAACGGCAGCACGGGGGCAACCCUGGUGGCGAGUGGCGAACGGGUGAGUAAUACAUCGGAACGUGCCCAGUCGUGGGGGAUAACGUAGCGAAAGUUACGCUAAUACCGCAUAUUCUGUGAGCAGGAAAGCAGGGGGUCGCGGGACCUUGCGCUUUCGGAGCGGCCGAUGUCGGAUUAGCUAGUUGGUGGGGUAAAGGCUUACCAAGGCGACGAUCCGUAGCUGGUCUUAGAGGAUGAUCAGCCACACUGGGACUGAGACACGGCCCAGACUCCUACGGGAGGCAGCAGUGGGGAAUUUUGGACAAUGGGGGCAACCCUGAUCCAGCCAUGCCGCGUGAGUGGAGAAGGCCUUCGGGUUGUAAAGCUCUUUCGGACGGGAAGAAAUCGCCAUCUCUAACAUAGGUGGUGGAUGACGGUACCGUCAUAAGAAGCACCGGCUAACUACGUGCCAGCAGCCGCAGUAA
Molecule: ribosomal RNA, 500 nt
Filed under: uncultured bacterium
Lineage: Bacteria
Description: partial 16S ribosomal RNA
Rfam family: Bacterial small subunit ribosomal RNA
Source: RNAcentral